Small nucleolar RNA from Trichosurus vulpecula (common brushtail), 71 nucleotides. Lineage: Eukaryota; Metazoa; Chordata; Mammalia; Diprotodontia; Phalangeridae. The record is from RefSeq and is a predicted model, not a curated record.
UUCCAAUGAGGAUAACCUUGUCCAGUUCUGCUGCUGAUGUAUCAGAGAUGACAACUUUGUGCCCUGAGGAA